Non-coding RNA from Acanthosepion pharaonis, 92 nucleotides. NCBI's taxonomy places the organism in Eukaryota, Metazoa, Mollusca, Cephalopoda, Sepiida, Sepiidae. The record is from the annotation of a GenBank genome assembly.
GGCACUGGUUUCCGUACCAUCACCGAAGUUAAGCAACGUCGAGCCUGGUCAGUACCGAGAUGGUGACCGCUUGAGAAUACUAGGUGCUGUGA